This is a long non-coding RNA of Drosophila ananassae, 900 nucleotides long. RefSeq lists it as uncharacterized. Lineage: Eukaryota; Metazoa; Arthropoda; Insecta; Diptera; Drosophilidae. The transcript is spliced from 2 exons. The record is from RefSeq and is a predicted model, not a curated record.
ACUUCGUCAGCUGCGAUUUCACGUGACUCCACAAGUUUUCUAUUGGAUUCUUAUCGGGAGAUUGUCGUGGCCACUUCAUAAUUGAAAUUUCUGUUUUGAAAUCAAAUUUUUAACUAAUAUGGACGUGUGCUUCGGGUCGUUGUCUUGCUGAAAAAACGCAUUUUUCGACCGAAAGACCUAUAUUCCCAAUAACUUUUGGAAGAUUUUCUUGCAAUAUGGCUAGAUAUUGCUCCUUUCGCAUAAUUCCAUCGAUUAGCACCAAGGGACCAACUCAUUUGAGUUAAUGCACCCCUGUUAAUGCACCGAUGGAAAAUACAAGGGGACGUGGACUUAUUAUUAAAAAAUCAUUAAAAAAAAUAUUUGUUAAAAAAAAUAACUAGAGUGCAAAACUGUAACAUUUGACUAUUUUUACAGUUUGGCGUGCCAUUUUCUUUAACUAAUAACAAAUGGCUUUCAAUUUUGCUUAAUAAUAGUAUAUGACAUAACCAACAAAACUAGACUAAGAUUUUUAAAAUGCGUGCAUUAGAAAAAAAGUUACAGACCUUUGAAGUUGCAACAAUGAACUCGUGUUACAGUUUUGCUCGUCAGUGUAUAUACAGCGCAAAGUGAGGGUAAUUGAUCCUACAUACAUAAAUUGUAUUCAUUGUAUGUUUGUUCUGGACUUUGGUUCAGAUAAGACCAAGGUUAUGGAGUUUAUAGUUAAUAUCUGCUUCUUCUGAAUCUGGCUAAAACUUAAUAUAUGUAUGUAUGUACCUGUAAGGCUAAAAUAUUAUAACUCAAAUUCAGAAUUUACUGAUAUGUAUGGAUAUACUAAAAGGUAACUAUACUAUACAUAUGUAUGUAUGUUUGUACAAUAACUAACCUUUCGCAUUGCAGUUUGGGGAAAACGGUUGUCCCGAA